RNAcentral lists this ribosomal RNA (457 nucleotides) under uncultured bacterium. Its description in RNAcentral is "bacterial SSU rRNA". It matches the Rfam family "Bacterial small subunit ribosomal RNA", at positions 30 to 486 of the family's 1533-position model. The record is from RNAcentral.
AUUGAACGCUGGCGGCAUGCUUUACACAUGCAAGUCGAACGGUAACAGCACUUCGGUGGCUGACGAGUGGCGAACGGGUGAGUAAUGUAUCGGAACGUGCCCAGUAGUGGGGGAUAACUACUCGAAAGAGUGGCUAAUACCGCAUGAGAUCUCUGGAUGAAAGCGGGGGACCGUAAGGCCUCGCGCGAUUGGAGCGGCCGAUGGCAGAUUAGGUAGUUGGUGGGGUAAAGGCUCACCAAGCCUGCGAUCUGUAGCUGGUCUGAGAGGACGACCAGCCACACUGGAACUGAGACACGGUCCAGACUCCUACGGGAGGCAGCAGUGGGGAAUUUUGGACAAUGGGCGCAAGCCUGAUCCAGCCAUUCCGCGUGCAGGAUGAAGGCCUUCGGUUGUAACUAGCUUUGUACGGACGAAAGGUUUACCGUAAUACGGAGAGCUCAUGACGGUACCGUAAGAA